AGAUUUUAAAGGUCGAACAGACCUAAUCAAUUUCAGCUUCUGCACCGAAAAUUUA
RNAcentral lists this transfer RNA (55 nucleotides) under Pericapritermes sp. TBRU1.8. RNAcentral's name for it is "tRNA-Val". The record is from RNAcentral. Lineage: Eukaryota; Metazoa; Arthropoda; Insecta; Blattodea; Termitidae.